Molecule: transfer RNA, 64 nt
Filed under: Rhagophthalmus giganteus
Lineage: Eukaryota; Metazoa; Arthropoda; Insecta; Coleoptera; Rhagophthalmidae
Description: tRNA-Met
Source: RNAcentral
AAAAAGGUAAGCUAAAUUAAGCUUUUGGGUUCAUACCUCAACUAUAAAUAUAUUUUUCUUUUUA